AUACUACUCCCUCCGUCCCAAAGUAAGUGACUCAAAAAUGACUCAACUUUGUACUAACUUUAGUGCAAAGUUGACUCAUUUUUGAGUCACUUAUUUUGGAACGGAGGAAGUAUAUA
Hordeum vulgare subsp. vulgare (domesticated barley) is the source of this 116-nucleotide non-coding RNA. NCBI's taxonomy places the organism in Eukaryota, Viridiplantae, Streptophyta, Magnoliopsida, Poales, Poaceae. The record is from Rfam.